GAUGAACGCUGGCGGCGUGCCUGAUACAUGCAAGUCGAGCGAACAGAUGAGGAGCUUGCUCCUCUGACGUUAGCGGCGGACGGGUGAGUAACACGUGGAUAACCUACCUAUAAGACUGGGAUAACUUCGGGAAACCGGAGCUAAUACCGGAUAAUAUAUUGAACCGCAUGGUUCAAUAGUGAAAGACGGUUUUGCUGUCACUUAUAGAUGGAUCCGCGCCGCAUUAGCUAGUUGGUAAAGUAACGGCUUACCAAGGCAACGAUGCGUAGCCGACCUGAGAGGGUGAUCGGCCACACUGGAACUGAGACACGGUCCAGACUCCUACGGGAGGCAGCAGUAGGGAAUCUUCCGCAAUGGGCGAAAGCCUGACGGAGCAACGCCGCGUGAGUGAUGAAGGUCUUCGGAUCGUAAAACUCUGUUAUUAGGGAAGAACAAAUGUGUAAGUAACUAUGCACGUCUUGACGGUACCUAAUCAGAAAGCCACGGCUAACUACGUG
Molecule: ribosomal RNA, 497 nt
Filed under: uncultured bacterium
Lineage: Bacteria
Description: partial 16S ribosomal RNA
Rfam family: Bacterial small subunit ribosomal RNA
Source: RNAcentral